UACGUAGGGUGCAAGCGUUAAUCGGAAUUACUGGGCGUAAAGCGUGCGCAGGCGGUUCUAUAAGACCGAUGUGAAAUCCCCGGGCUCAACCUGGGAACUGCAUUCGUGACUGUAGAGCUGGAGUGCGGCAGAGGGGGAUGGAAUUCCGCGUGUAGCAGUGAAAUGCGUAGAUAUGCGGAGGAACACCGAUGGCGAAGGCAAUCCCCUGGGCCUGCACUGACGCUCAUGCACGAAAGCGUGGGGAGCAAACAGG
This 253-nucleotide ribosomal RNA is filed under the name uncultured bacterium. RNAcentral describes it as "partial 16S ribosomal RNA". It matches the Rfam family "Bacterial small subunit ribosomal RNA", at positions 524 to 776 of the family's 1533-position model. The record is from RNAcentral.